CAGCCGCCGCGGGAAUACAGAGGGUGCGAGCGUUAAUCGGAUUUACUGGGCGUAAAGCGUGCGUAGGCGGCUUCUUAAGUCGGAUGUGAAAUCCCUGAGCUUAACUUAGGAAUUGCAUUCGAUACUGGGAAGCUAGAGUAUGGGAGAGGAUGGUAGAAUUCCAGGUGUAGCGGUGAAAUGCGUAGAGAUCUGGAGGAAUACCGAUGGCGAAGGCAGCCAUCUGUCCUAAUACUGACGCUGAGGUACGAAAGCAUGGGGAGCAAACAGGAUUAGAUACCCCCGUAGUCCCUGUCUCUUAUAU
This 301-nucleotide ribosomal RNA is filed under the name uncultured bacterium. Its description in RNAcentral is "partial 16S ribosomal RNA". It matches the Rfam family "Bacterial small subunit ribosomal RNA", at positions 509 to 809 of the family's 1533-position model. The record is from RNAcentral.